RNAcentral lists this ribosomal RNA (253 nucleotides) under uncultured bacterium. RNAcentral's name for it is "partial 16S ribosomal RNA". It matches the Rfam family "Bacterial small subunit ribosomal RNA", at positions 524 to 776 of the family's 1533-position model. The record is from RNAcentral.
UACGAAGGGGGCUAGCGUUGCUCGGAAUCACUGGGCGUAAAGGGUGCGUAGGCGGGUCUUUAAGUCAGGGGGGAAAUCCUGGAGCUCAACUCCAGAACUGCCUUUGAUACUGGAGAUCUUGAGACCGGAAGAGGUAAGUGGAACUGCGAGUGUAGAGGUGAAAUUCGUAGAUAUUCGCAAGAACACCAGUGGCGAAGGCGGCUUACUGGUCCGGUUCUGACGCUGAGGCGCGAAAGCGUGGGGAGCAAACAGG